RNAcentral lists this transfer RNA (72 nucleotides) under Ixodes scapularis (black-legged tick). It matches the Rfam family "tRNA". From Rfam's summary of the family: Transfer RNA (tRNA) molecules are approximately 80 nucleotides in length. Their secondary structure includes four short double-helical elements and three loops (D, anti-codon, and T loops). The record is from Rfam by way of RNAcentral. Lineage: Eukaryota; Metazoa; Arthropoda; Arachnida; Ixodida; Ixodidae.
GCUGGUUAGCUCAGUUGGUAGAGCACUUCACUAGAAAAGGACAGGUCCCUGGUUCGAUACCAGGACAAGGCA